AAGUGGCGCGGGGGCUCAGAGAAGGCGGAGGGGGCGGUGAGGCCCGAACGCGGGAAAGGCGGAGACCCCGCCUCCCCGGGGCGGAGGGAGAGUUGGGCUCGUUGCUCCAGCCUCCGCCCGCGGCCUCGGGGCACGGCGGGCCCAGGCCGGAGGAGCUUUCGGUGGCGCGACCCCGCUGGCAUGCUCCCGGCCUCGGCCUCGGCCUCGGCCUUGGCCUCCGGGCCUCCAGCGCACGCGGGGCGUCCAGGGCCUCAUCUUCCCCUGGGGACCGCCCGGCCGUGUCCCGCUGCCCUCGGCGCAGGGGUGGGAGUUGCAGAGAGGAAGAGUCGCUAACCCGGAGUGUUUCUUAAAACUUGGCUGACCUGUGACCUGCGGAUUUGGAGGCUGAAUUCUCCGAGCACCUGAAGCUACUGCAGGAUAUAAUCUAAGAAAAUAAGGGGAAGAAAACAAGAAAGAGGAAGACAUUGGAUCCAAGAAAUGGGGGAUCUAUCACCUUACAGAUGAAAAGAGAAUCUACAUGAUCUUUGUGAAGGAUCUGGCUAGAAACAGCACAAGGCAGCACAGGACUUGAGUCUGAAUCCCUUGCUCUGUCACUUCCUAGCUAUAUAGCUGCAGGCAAGUACUUACUCUCCCUAUGCCUCUGAUUUCUUAUUUUAAAGUUGAGGAAACAAGUAAUUCCCUCAUAAAGUUGUGUGUUAAUCAUUAAGGCUGUUGACAAAUACUCUGUUUUCCCAUCUUCUAUGCACGUUAAAAAUGUAAUCUCCUAUCUCUUUGAAGACAGAUAUGACCUUGGGACUUGCUUUAGCCAGUGGAAUGGAAGCAGAAGUAACCUGUAAUUUCCAGCAUCAAAACUCCUAUCCAUCCACAGUAUGUGAGUGGGAGUGGAAGGCGACAAUAAGCCACACAGAGGGGCCUUGUGUAACUGCUUGGUGCUCAGAGGAUCUGGACAGAAGCAUCUGGGCAGCCUGCCACAGGAAACUUCACAGCAAUGUCAAUAGUCCUGACGAAAACGAACCUUGACUGCUGGGCAAACUGAGAGGGUGGAAGGACAGAAAUGAGCAUCACUUGAAAUCUACUGAUGCCGGAAAAGAUAUUGUAAAGCAAAAUUUAAAAUCAAAAAGUAGUUAAUAAAUUUUGGCCCCUUCUAC
This 1148-nucleotide long non-coding RNA is filed under the name Homo sapiens (human). RNAcentral describes it as "HSALNT0307923". Lineage: Eukaryota; Metazoa; Chordata; Mammalia; Primates; Hominidae. The record is from RNAcentral.